This 253-nucleotide ribosomal RNA is filed under the name uncultured bacterium. RNAcentral's name for it is "partial 16S ribosomal RNA". It matches the Rfam family "Bacterial small subunit ribosomal RNA", at positions 524 to 776 of the family's 1533-position model. The record is from RNAcentral.
UACGUAGGGAGCAAGCGUUGUCCGGAUUUACUGGGUGUAAAGGGUGCGUAGGCGGCGAUGCAAGUCAGGCGUGAAAUCCAUCGGCUUAACUGAUGAACUGCGUUUGAAACUGUGUCGCUUGAGUGAGUCAGAGGCAGGCGGAAUUCCCGGUGUAGCGGUGAAAUGCGUAGAGAUCGGGAGGAACACCAGUGGCGAAGGCGGCCUGCUGGGGCUUAACUGACGCUGAGGCACGAAAGCGUGGGGAGCAAACAGG